Scylla paramamosain (green mud crab) is the source of this 367-nucleotide long non-coding RNA. RefSeq lists it as uncharacterized. NCBI's taxonomy places the organism in Eukaryota, Metazoa, Arthropoda, Malacostraca, Decapoda, Portunidae. The transcript is spliced from 3 exons. The record is from RefSeq and is a predicted model, not a curated record.
AGACAUUCAAAACAUACUAUUCAAGUACCGAGCAGCUUCGAAACAGUGAACCGAAGCAAGGUGACGCACUACAGCCAGGCAUCAGUCAGUCCCAGCGGCCAUGUGUGGUGCACUCGUGUACCCGAUCCUGUGCCUUCUCGAACAUUUACUGGGAUCCUGGUGAAGCAGGACUGCCUUAGCACCAACCCAAGCCUGCCCAGUAUUUAUGGUGUGGUGGUGAUCGCUUACCUGGGCUGUGUAGAAGAUGGGAUGCUGUUGGAUAAUGAAGAGGAAGUGAAUGGUGGUGUGAUGAUGUGCAGGUCACUCCCACCUUUCACCUUCCUUUCACUCGCUCUCUGGAGUCCACACCCUGCCAGUCUAGAGUGAG